CCUCCCUUUCUUGGCAGGAUCGGGUUUUCCUGUACCCAUUUCUGUAAUGUGCGGAGGUAAACAAAUACUGCCCAGCGUCAUGUCUUCGGUGCCAGCGGUUUUCCCAUCCGCUGGUUCUAUCCUCAAGCGCCGGGACACGG
Molecule: small nucleolar RNA, 140 nt
Organism: Laticauda laticaudata (blue-ringed sea krait)
Lineage: Eukaryota; Metazoa; Chordata; Lepidosauria; Squamata; Elapidae
Source: Ensembl